This is a long non-coding RNA of Mus musculus (house mouse), 2865 nucleotides long. RefSeq annotates it as predicted gene 2895. The record is from RefSeq and is a predicted model, not a curated record. The transcript has 6 exons. Lineage: Eukaryota; Metazoa; Chordata; Mammalia; Rodentia; Muridae.
CUUUAUCUCCAGGCUCCUUUCACAUUGCUUAGCUCCCUUUAUUCUUGCUGAUCUUGGCGCCCCACAACUCCCUUCCUACUCUGAGCUGCUGUUUCCCCGCUGCUCCAGCCCGCUGUGUCAGCUGUAAGCACUCUACGGACUGCAGUUUGUGGUCCCCAGAACGUGCAUAGAAUUUGCUUUCCAAUCAUGGAUCUUCCUUCUGUCGUGAUGUUCUAAAACCUUGGCCUGCUUGCCUGUUACCGGGUUCUCGCCCUGACCUACACCUGAGCCUCUCCAGGGAGCUUUUCUUAAGCAGGUGGAUACCCUGGUUACACCCCAGAGCAGCUUAGUUAGAAUCUGAGAGUGUGCCCCAACACUGGGGCUUUGAAAAAAAACUCCUCAAAGGGUGCAGCAAGAUGGCACACCUGGUAAAGACAUGUGGCCUGCAAAACCCUGGGGACCUAAAUUCCAUGCCCGGAAACCACAAAGUGGAAAGGAAGAACACAGUGCCAUACAUUUUCCUCAGACCCCUCGCUCCCCAUCCCCACUAAAUAAAUAAACAUUGCCCGGAUUGGCUCAGAUGUGAAACCACGUUGAGAAUCUCAGCACCCAGCACCAAGAAAACAUCAUGUUAUAGAGAGAUUGAGUCACACCUAAGGCCCAGUCCAGUCAUUGUUUCAACGCCACCUGCUCAACCCUUAUGACUCAAGUGGCCUUCCCCUCCCCCCUCCUCUAGAUAACCUGACCCUCAUUCUCUUGGUCUAUGGAUAUCUAGGGAGCCGCUUUAAGAGCCUGCUCUGUGCUAAGGAGCUGGAGAAGAAGGAAGUAAGAAGAAAAAAGGAAAGCUCUUUCUUUGGGGGACAUAGCAAAAUGGAGCCCCAAGAUUUCUGUUUCCCAAGACAUCCAUACAAGAUCGCUAAGCUGAGCUUACCAGAUCUAUAGUUGUCCUGAGCACCUACUAUGUUCAAGAACUUCUGGACCCAAGGACCAUGAGACAGAAAAGCAGACAGGAUGCCUAAAAGACAAGGUUCCUUUCUACCCAAGCCUGGUAGACUCCUCCCCAUGGAUUCUGAAGAACAACUACGGUUGGUGACUGUAAUCUCUAAGAGGAAGAACAGAUGGAAGCGCCUUCCUUUCCUUAGGCCCCAGAGACAUCCUGACAGAGUCUAGCUGAGCAUCCUACUGGCAAACAUGUCUGGAACAAAGUCCCAAAACUGUGAUGGACCACCCUAGGCUUCCUGAAGCAUUGGGAACCACCAGAGCUACAAAGCCAACACUCAUUCAGGACAGAUGUUGGUCACUCUGGAUUCUAGGCGGGGGAGUCAGAGGAGUACAGAUUUUAGAAGCCUUGAAUUCACUAUGUAGAUAAGAAUGACCUGAACUUCAGACCCUCCUGUCUUCAAGUCUAAUGUGCAAGCAUUGCAGUCUAUGAGGCCCUUCUCGGAACACUGUUCAUCUUCACCCACGUGCUUUGAUGUGCUUUUCUCUGGAUAUUCUGCUGUGUGGACCUGGCUCUGCCUUUUGCACAGAGUUGUUUCAAACAGAUGGCCUGAUGUCAGAAUGAAACUCACGUGUGCCUCUUCUUUUGACUACAGAUUUUAUCUGAGCAUGGAUGUCAGGACCUGUUGUGGCGAGUAGAACUAUGGCAAGCAAGAAACCCACAGUCAACAGUCCUGUCUUUAGCCUCCUUGAUGUCACAUGGAGUCCUCAGGAGAGGCUAGGCCUGGAGCCAUCGGAACAAGCUGCAACAGGAACAUGAAGAUCUCAACCGAGAGGGCAGAUGUGAUGCCAAGCUCCACAAGCUGAACCCAAGGGUUGAGACACUGAGCUAUGCAGAUUAGCCUACCAUUACCUCACUGGACACACCAUGAGCUUUUCUCCCCUGGCCCCCAGUGCCUGUAGGCAGAUCAGUGAUGGUUGACUUUGGGGGACUCAUUUCUCCAGCUUUGUUAAAUCAAGUCAAUGCAUCUUAAUGACCCAAGAACUUGGAGUUGGGCCUGUGCCAAUCUCACUGUAGCCCAUCCAAGGAUCAUAAACCUCUGAGAGGAGAGUGAGAGGUGGGUAAGGAAAAGUCUUCCUAGAGAGGGACUGUCUCACUGGUGCUGUCAACAAGCAACCCUCACAAGGUGAUGGCUUAGAGAAAGAAAUUAGUGACAUGAGUAGGCAUUGGUGGCAAAUGGAGUUUACCCUAGGACCCAAGCUGGUGGAGGGUCCAAUUUGUCACCUCUGCCAAAAUGGAAGAAGGGGGCACUACGCACUGGUCAUGUGUUGAUAAAACUUCCAUUCAGAAAAAAAAAUUAACAAAAAAAUUAUGUGACACUUUUUUUUGCAUACAUUGACCCCAGUAACUCAGCUGACCCCAACAAGUGUUCAAAUGACAGUAAACUGGAAUUUCACCUCGUGUCCCACCAAGGCCUGCAAACAUAGUGUAAUCAGCAUAAGUGAGUUCCCUGGGAAGGGCAAUGGCUCCUCAGGUUCUUCUGAUGGUCUUUCCCUCUGAGACUGUUAAAGGUGGAAUGGGACAUUGACUGCCUGCCCCUAAUCUCAGGAGGAAGGACUAGCACUUUGGAAACCACUUUUGAGAAGUGUGACCUAGACUGUGCUAACCAUAUCAAGGGCCUGCUGAAUAGGAGAAAUUAACAUGGGUCCUUGGUCAUUAGACCUACCUCAGAGGUUAAAGGAAAGGGAUUAGACACUCUCAAGUCAUUGGAACACUCAUGUUCUCAGAGCUUGUGGCUUCUUUUUGUCAUUCAACAUAUGUUGGUAGAUGUUGGUCUAGAUUCUCAAUGAACCAGUUGGCCAAUUCUGUGGCCACCCAUUCUUUUCAUUAUUUUAUAACAGUGCAGGAGUGGUCUUGCUGUACAAGGUAAGCUAAAUGGUAUGGAG